UGUGUAAACAGACAAUUUUGUUAGAACAGAUCGUUAAACACAUACGCCCAACUAGCAAGGAUCUCAAAAUUUUUCCAAUAAAUUCACUAGAGGAAUUAAAUUCGGCAGAACAAUUAGUUAAUAACGAGCCUGAAUCAGAAGUGAUAUCAUAUAUGAAACUAAAAUUUGGCAAAGACAAAAUAGAAAAGGCGUUACAUGCAAUGAUUGGUGACAAUAUUUUGCUUCGGGUAAAUUGGGAUGGAGCUAAAAAUAAGACAGCCAUAAACAAAUAUCGGUUGUUUAACUUUUUUUAUUUCGAAUCACUCAGAGACACCUACGAAACUUAUCCUGAAUUUGAAAAAUCUUUUAAGUUGGCCUUUCGCAAAUGUAAGGCAACAUUUUACCGGCAAACCUACAGCCUAAAAUCUAAAUAAAUAAAGUAUUUAAUAUGUUUUUUUAAUUAUAAGAAAUUAUAGUACAAAAAUGAA
Musca vetustissima is the source of this 467-nucleotide long non-coding RNA. RefSeq lists it as uncharacterized. The record is from RefSeq and is a predicted model, not a curated record. The transcript is spliced from 3 exons. NCBI's taxonomy places the organism in Eukaryota, Metazoa, Arthropoda, Insecta, Diptera, Muscidae.